This 253-nucleotide ribosomal RNA is filed under the name uncultured bacterium. Its description in RNAcentral is "partial 16S ribosomal RNA". It matches the Rfam family "Bacterial small subunit ribosomal RNA", at positions 524 to 776 of the family's 1533-position model. The record is from RNAcentral.
UACAGAGGUCCCAAGCGUUGUUCGGAUUCAUUGGGCGUAAAGGGUGCGUAGGCGGCGCGGUAAGUCGGGUGUGAAAUCUCGGAGCUUAACUCCGAAACUGCAUUCGAUACUGCCGUGCUUGAGGACUGGAGAGGAGACUGGAAUUUACGGUGUAGCGGUGAAAUGCGUAGAUAUCGUAAGGAAGACCAGUGGCGAAGGCGGCUCACUGGCCCGAUACUGACGCUGAGGUGCGAAAGCGUGGGGAGCAAACAGG